GUCAACAGAUGCCACAGCUGAUCUCAAGUGAUGAGUUACAGUCAAAACAUAGGUAAAAUUUUGCAUACAACAGCCCUCAGGCUACGUACCUAAGGUGUUUAUAGGAAAUAUAAAUGAAUCUCAUGUUUAGAUUUAGGUCCCAUACCUAAGAUAUCUCAUUAUGUAUGUGCAAAUAUUCCAAAAUAUGAAAAAAUCCAAAAUCCAAACUCUUUCUCAUCCCAAGCAUUUUGGGUAAAGGAUGCUCAAUGUAGAGUGAAUCCCUGUCCUUGGCCAAAAGUAUUUAUAUAAAGCAGUAGAAGUAAAGGAGAAAGUACAGGAUAUUUGUUACUUUUUAUACUGCCAGGCAGGACUAAACCUCAAAUGUAGUAUUUUUUAUAAAAUGAUAUUUUUAGUUUUUUAUUGCCUUGAGUAGAUUAAUGUAUUAGGUUUUUUAUAAAUGAGAAAUGGCCAGACCACUGCAGUUAGACUUGGUAGAUUAGGAUCUUCAUGACCUCUUUGUCCAGUCUCAAUAAUUACUCAAGCUUCCAGAUCAGUAAAAGU
Molecule: long non-coding RNA, 540 nt
Filed under: Marmota monax (woodchuck)
Lineage: Eukaryota; Metazoa; Chordata; Mammalia; Rodentia; Sciuridae
Source: RNAcentral